CACACACACCACCCCUCUCAUACACACACACAGAGCACCCCUAAUAAUCACUACACCCCUCACACACACACACUGAACCUCUCACACAUACUUCACCCCUCAUACACAUUGCACCCAUGAUAUACACUGCACACCUCCACUCAGUACAUUCCAUAUACUCACACUCUUCAUUCCCUAUGUACACACUAGAUCCCCUGUACGGAAAACACGUACUACGUUCCCUAAACACAAUCUACAGCCCCUUAAACACACUACACACACUACAC
Molecule: non-coding RNA, 266 nt
Organism: Pelobates cultripes (western spadefoot toad)
Lineage: Eukaryota; Metazoa; Chordata; Amphibia; Anura; Pelobatidae
Source: the annotation of a GenBank genome assembly